Molecule: unclassified non-coding RNA, 391 nt
Filed under: soil metagenome
Description: partial contains 5.8S ribosomal RNA, internal transcribed spacer 2, and large subunit ribosomal RNA
Rfam family: 5.8S ribosomal RNA (bases 1-122)
Source: RNAcentral
GAUGAAGAACGUAGCGAAAUGCGAUACUUGGUGUGAAUUGCAGAAUCCCGUGAACCAUCGAGUCUUUGAACGCAAGUUGCGCCCGAAGCCAUUAGGCCGAGGGCACGCCUGCCUGGGCGUCACACGUCGUUGCCCCCCCAUCUACUCCUUCGGGAUUGCGGGGGGCGGAUGAUGGCCUCCCGUGCGCCUCGUCGCGCGGUUGGCAUAAAUGCCAAGUCCUCGGCGAUGCACGCCACGACAAUCGGUGGUUGCGAAACCUCGGUUGCCCGUCGUGUGCGGUCGUCGCGCAUCGAGGGCUCGAAAAAAUUGCCGGGCUCCGGCUCGGCUUUCAACGCGACCCCAGGUCAGGCGGGGUUACCCGCUGAAUUUAAGCAUAUCAAUAAGCGGAGGA